Telopea speciosissima is the source of this 169-nucleotide long non-coding RNA. RefSeq lists it as uncharacterized. The record is from RefSeq and is a predicted model, not a curated record. The transcript is spliced from 3 exons. NCBI's taxonomy places the organism in Eukaryota, Viridiplantae, Streptophyta, Magnoliopsida, Proteales, Proteaceae.
GGAAUUAGUUGACUCUCCACUUUCAAUUUCACAUUGCUUCAAAGCUCUCUCUUUCAUGGAAGGUGUUGAAGCAGGGCUUGGACUACUUGAGCUGAGUUCAGGUGGAGUACUUUGAGUACCCACAUCUAUAGUAUUCAUAUUCUCUAUUUUCUUGGGUAUGGAAAUUCAU